Molecule: RNA transcript, 822 nt
Organism: Gallus gallus (chicken)
Lineage: Eukaryota; Metazoa; Chordata; Aves; Galliformes; Phasianidae
Gene name: ribonuclease Y-like
Exons: 3
Source: RefSeq, a predicted model, not a curated record
GUCACAGCGUGGGACGACGCGCCAUGGCAGCAUCCAAAGGGGACAGCCGCGCUGAAGCGCGGUUGUUAUGGAUACACAGCCACGCGUGCGCCGUCGUCACGCGGACGGCUGUACGCCGUGCCAUGAAUGAGGGCGCGCCGUCGCCGUCGCCGUCGCAACGCAGCUGAGUGACGUCCUGGCAGAUAGAACAAACCAGGUGUGAGCACUGUCUUUCCAAAGUUACACUGAAGCCGUUGGAGGAAAGGUCGGACCUCAGGCCUUCCCGCGGCACCAACUACUGACGGCGGAUUUGCUCACAGAUCCUUCACAGCUGUUUCAAAGAACCAUUCUGUGAUUCUAUGAUCUUCCAGGACCCUUCCAAGCCACACCAUCCUGUGGUUCUAUCAUCUUCCAGGACUCUUCCAACACAAACCAUUCUAUGGUUCUGUGAUCACUAAGGAACCUCCCAAGCCACGCCGUCCUGCAGUUCUAUGAUCUUCCAGGACCCUCCUGUGCGGGUGAUGUCACAAUGAUGUGAUGACCUCACAGAGGCCCUGGGGUGGGGCAGGGGCAGUGGGUCAGCGCUGAACCUGCCUGCCUCAUUCUGCGGUUGGUUCUGGUCCAGCGAGGAGCUGUGCGAGUGGUGCAGCAAUGCGGGCCCAGUUUGCCAGCGGGACAUUAACAGAUCUGCAGCGUGUGAAUCUGCUGGAGGAGCUGCUGCAGGCUCAUGAGCGCGCCGUGGAGAAGCGCAAGGCUGAGGCCAGGGAAUCCUUGAUGAAGGAUGCCCAGCAAAUACGGGAAGAAAGAACGACUGCCACGAAAGAUGAGCUGGAUGCAGGUAGG